This is a long non-coding RNA of Juglans microcarpa x Juglans regia, 243 nucleotides long. RefSeq lists it as uncharacterized. NCBI's taxonomy places the organism in Eukaryota, Viridiplantae, Streptophyta, Magnoliopsida, Fagales, Juglandaceae. The transcript is spliced from 4 exons. The record is from RefSeq and is a predicted model, not a curated record.
GUGGGGCCUACAACCUUUUCCAACUUAACACAUCUUUAUACGUGGACCCACAACCUUUUUCAACUUCCCAUAAAAAGUAAUAAACUCAUCUUAACAUCCAAACACACUUUAAACUCAGUUUAGAUGGGUCCCACAUAACUCCCUCCACUACCCAACUCCCUAUUAUUCAUAAAGAACUAAGCUCAGCUGAUCUCAGCUCAACAUCCAAAUGCAGCCAAACCUCUAAAAUAUACAUGGUAAGCC